This 495-nucleotide ribosomal RNA is filed under the name uncultured Chloroflexota bacterium. RNAcentral describes it as "bacterial SSU rRNA". It matches the Rfam family "Bacterial small subunit ribosomal RNA", at positions 355 to 865 of the family's 1533-position model. The record is from RNAcentral. Lineage: Bacteria; Bacillati; Chloroflexota.
UAGGGAAUAUUGCACAAUGGGCGAAAGCCUGAUGCAGCAACGCCGCGUGCGCGAAGAAGGUCUUCGGAUCGUAAAGCGCUUUUUGGGGAGAUGAGGAAGGACAGUAUCCCCAGAAUAAGGCUCGGCUAACUACGUGCCAGCAGCCGCGGUAAAACGUAGGAGCCAAGCGUUAUCCGAAUUCACUGGGCGUAAAGCGCGUGCAGGCGGUCUGGUAAGUUGGAUGUGAAAUCUCCUGGCUCAACUGGGAGAGGCCGUUCAAUACUGUCAGACUAGAGGGCGACAGAGGGAGGUAGAAUUCCCGGUGUAGUGGUGAAAUGCGUAGAUAUCGGGAGGAAUACCAGAGGCGAAGGCGACCUCCUGGGUCGUACCUGACGCUCAGAUGCGAAAGCUAGGGGAGCGAAUGGGAUUAGAAACCCCGGUAGUCCUAGCUGUAAACGAUGUAGACUGGGUGUUGGCGGGGUAAAAGCCGUCAGUGCCGAAGCAAACGCGAUAAGU